Echinops telfairi (small Madagascar hedgehog) is the source of this 121-nucleotide small nucleolar RNA. The record is from Ensembl. NCBI's taxonomy places the organism in Eukaryota, Metazoa, Chordata, Mammalia, Afrosoricida, Tenrecidae.
GCCCUCCAGUUUCCUUCCCCAUGGGAUCUAAACAUUGGUCUGAGUGGUUACAAAAGGAGGAAAAGUAACAAUGAAACAGACUUCAACGCUUUUGUUGCAAAUGGACUAGUUUCAAACAAUU